This 245-nucleotide ribosomal RNA is filed under the name uncultured bacterium. RNAcentral's name for it is "partial 16S ribosomal RNA". It matches the Rfam family "Bacterial small subunit ribosomal RNA", at positions 524 to 768 of the family's 1533-position model. The record is from RNAcentral.
AACGUAGGUGGCAAGCGUUAUCCGGAUUUACUGGGCGUAAAGCGUGUGCAGGCGGUGGUCCAAGUGGUGUAUGAAAUCGCCCGGCUUAACCGGGUGAGGUUAUGCCAGACUGGGCCACUGGAGGACGGGAGAGGGGCGUGGAAUUCCGGGUGUAGUGGUGAAAUGCGUAGAGAUCCGGAGGAACCCCAGCGGCGAAGGCGGCGCCCUGGCCCGCACCUGACGCUCAGACACGACAGCAUGGGGAG